GGAGGUGGCAAACGACCUUUGAUCCGGGCAUGUCCGAAUGGGGAAACCCACCUGAUUUAUCAGGUAUCCCUUACUGAAUACAUAGGUAAGGCGAAGCGAACCGGGAGAACUGAAACAUCUAAGUAACCCGAGGAAAAGAAAUCAACCGAGAUUCCCCAAGUAGUGGCGAGCGAACGGGGACCAGCCCUUAAGCACUUUGAGUUUUAACAGAAGCGUCUGGAAAGUCGCGCCAUAGUGGGUGAUAGCCCCGUAUGUGAAAAGGCUCUUAGUGUGAAAUCGAGUAGGACGGGACACGUGUCAUUCUGUCUGAAUAUGGGGGGACCAUCCUCCAAGGCUAAAUACUCCUGACUGACCGAUAGCGAACCAUUACCGUGAGGGAAAGGCGAAAAGAACCCCGGAGAGGGGAGUGAAAUAGACCCUGAAACCGUGUACGUACAAGCAGUGGGAGCCCUUCGGGGUGACUGCGUACCUUUUGUAUAAUGGGUCAGCGACUUAUUGUUAGUGGCAAGCUUAACCGAAUAGGGGAGGCGUAGGGAAACCGAGUCUUAAUAGGGCGUCCAGUCGCUAGCAGUAGACCCGAAACCGAGCGAUCUAUCCAUGGGCAGGUUGAAGGUGCAGUAACAUGCACUGGAGGACCGAACCGACUCCCGUUGUAAAGGUAGCG
RNAcentral lists this ribosomal RNA (664 nucleotides) under Bacillus pacificus. RNAcentral describes it as "partial 23S ribosomal RNA". It matches the Rfam family "Bacterial large subunit ribosomal RNA", at positions 82 to 802 of the family's 2925-position model. Lineage: Bacteria; Bacillati; Bacillota; Bacilli; Caryophanales; Bacillaceae. The record is from RNAcentral.